AUUUUUUUAGGUUUUGAUUUUUAUGGCGUGCUCACGCGAAAAUCAAAACCUAAAGAAAACG
This 61-nucleotide microRNA precursor is filed under the name Gekko japonicus. RNAcentral's name for it is "Gja-Mir-737_pre stem-loop". It matches the Rfam family "mir-737 microRNA precursor family". Lineage: Eukaryota; Metazoa; Chordata; Lepidosauria; Squamata; Gekkonidae. The record is from RNAcentral.